GACGAACGCUGGCGGCGUGCCUAAUACAUGCAAGUCGAACGCACUCUCGUUUAGAUUGAAGGAGCUUGCUCCUGAUUGAUAAACAUUUGAGUGAGUGGCGGACGGGUGAGUAACACGUGGGUAACCUGCCCUAAAGUGGGGGAUAACAUUUGGAAACAGAUGCUAAUACCGCAUAAAACCUAACACCGCAUGGUGUAGGGUUGAAAGAUGGUUUCGGCUAUCACUUUAGGAUGGACCCGCGGUGCAUUAGUUAGUUGGUGAGGUAAAGGCUCACCAAGACCGUGAUGCAUAGCCGACCUGAGAGGGUAAUCGGCCACACUGGGACUGAGACACGGCCCAGACUCCUACGGGAGGCAGCAGUAGGGAAUCUUCCACAAUGGACGAAAGUCUGAUGGAGCAACGCCGCGUGAGUGAAGAAGGUUUCGAUCGUAAAACUCUGUUGUUGGAGAAGAAUGUAUCUGAUAGUAACUGAUCAGGUAGUGACGGUAUCCAACCAG
This 497-nucleotide ribosomal RNA is filed under the name uncultured bacterium. RNAcentral's name for it is "bacterial SSU rRNA". It matches the Rfam family "Bacterial small subunit ribosomal RNA", at positions 28 to 486 of the family's 1533-position model. The record is from RNAcentral.